RNAcentral lists this ribosomal RNA (468 nucleotides) under uncultured bacterium. RNAcentral's name for it is "partial 16S ribosomal RNA". It matches the Rfam family "Bacterial small subunit ribosomal RNA", at positions 28 to 507 of the family's 1533-position model. The record is from RNAcentral.
GACGAACGCUGGCGGCGUGCUUAACACAUGCAAGUCGAACGGAAAGGCGCUACUUUUGCGGGGUUCUCGAUUGCCGAACGGGUGAGUAACACGCGUGUAACCCCCCCUUGUCUUUGGGAGAACUUUACGAAACUGGGUCUAAUACCGGAUAGGAUCUUCUGCUGCACGGUGGGGGUUGGAAAGUUUCGGCGGUGGGGGCACGACUCGCGGCUUAUCAGCUGCUUGGGGGGGUAGUGGCAUACCAAGGUUUUGACGGGUAGGCGGCCUGAGAGGGUGACCGGCCACAUGGGUACUGCGGUACGGCGCAGUCGCCAAUGGUCGGCAGUAGGGGGGAAUCUUGCGCAAUGGGCGGGAGCCUGAUGCAGCGGCCUUGCGUGCGGGAUGACCUCCUUCUGGUUAUAAACCGCUUUGGCCGGAGACGAGGCGUGCGUGACGGUACUUGGUAAGAAAGCACCGGCUAACUACGUG